This 490-nucleotide ribosomal RNA is filed under the name uncultured bacterium. RNAcentral's name for it is "partial 16S ribosomal RNA". It matches the Rfam family "Bacterial small subunit ribosomal RNA", at positions 30 to 507 of the family's 1533-position model. The record is from RNAcentral.
AUUGAACGCUGGCGGCAUGCCUUACACAUGCAAGUCGAACGGCAGCAUGAUCUAGCUUGCUAGAUUGAUGGCGAGUGGCGAACGGGUGAGUAAUACAUCGGAACGUUCCCUGUAGUGGGGGAUAACUAGUCGAAAGAUUAGCUAAUACCGCGUACGACCUGAGGGUGAAAGUGGGGGACCGCAAGGCCUCAUGCUAUAGGAGCGGCCGAUGUCUGAUUAGCUAGUUGGUGAGGUAAAGGCUCACCAAGGCGACGAUCAGUAGCUGGUCUGAGAGGACGAUCAGCCACACUGGGACUGAGACACGGCCCAGACUCCUACGGGAGGCAGCAGUGGGGAAUUUUGGACAAUGGGCGAAAGCCUGAUCCAGCAAUGCCGCGUGUGUGAAGAAGGCCUUCGGGUUGUAAAGCACUUUUGUCCGGAAAGAAAUGGCUCUGGUUAAUACCUGGGGUCGAUGACGGUACCGGAAGAAUAAGGACCGGCUAACUACGUG